ACUCCUACGGGAGGCAGCAGUGGGGGAAUCUUUGGACAAUAGGGGGCGAAACCCCUCGAUCCAGCCAUGCCGCCGUGAGUGAUGAAGGCCCUAAGGGUCGUAAAGCUCUUUUCGCCAGGGAUGAUAAUGACAGUACCUGGUAAAGAAACCCCGGCUAACUCCGUGCCAGCAGCCGCGGUAAUACGGAGGGGUUAGCGUUGUUCGGAAUUACUGGGGCGUAAAGCGCGCGUAGGCGGACUGGAAAGUUGGGGGUGAAAUCCCAGGGGCUCAACCCUGGAACUGCCUCCAAAACUAUCAGUCUAGAGUUCGAGAGAGGUGAGUGGAAUUCCGAGUGUAGAGGUGAAAUUCGUAGAUAUUCGGAGGAACACCAGUGGCGAAGGCGGCUCACUGGCUCGAUACUGACGCUGAGGUGCGAAAGUGUGGGGAGCAAACAGGAUUAGAUACCCUGGUAGGAUAGCG
Molecule: ribosomal RNA, 459 nt
Filed under: uncultured bacterium
Lineage: Bacteria
Description: bacterial SSU rRNA
Rfam family: Bacterial small subunit ribosomal RNA
Source: RNAcentral